This 497-nucleotide ribosomal RNA is filed under the name uncultured bacterium. RNAcentral's name for it is "partial 16S ribosomal RNA". It matches the Rfam family "Bacterial small subunit ribosomal RNA", at positions 29 to 507 of the family's 1533-position model. The record is from RNAcentral.
AAUGAACGCUGGCGGCGUGCCUAAUACAUGCAAGUCGAGCGAACAGACGAGGAGCUUGCUCCUUCGACGUUAGCGGCGGACGGGUGAGUAACACGUAGGUAACCUACCUAUAAGACUGGGAUAAAUUCGGGAAACCGGAGCUAAUACCGGAUAAUAUUUCGAACCGCAUGGUUCGAUAGUGAAAGAUGGCUUUGCUAUCACUUAUAGAUGGACCUGCGCCGUAUUAGCUAGUUGGUAAGGUAACGGCUUACCAAGGCAACGAUACGUAGCCGACCUGAGAGGGUGAUCGGCCACACUGGAACUGAGACACGGUCCAGACUCCUACGGGAGGCAGCAGUAGGGAAUCUUCCGCAAUGGGCGAAAGCCUGACGGAGCAACGCCGCGUGAGUGAUGAAGGUCUUCGGAUCGUAAAACUCUGUUAUUAGGGAAGAACAAACGUGUAAGUAACUGUGCACGUCUUGACGGUACCUAAUCAGAAAGCCACGGCUAACUACGUG